AGAGAUUGUGGGUGGGAAGCGAAAGGCAGUCACAAACAGUAGAUUGUUUUGACUUACCCUUGUCGGUCGGGUAGUUUACAAGUUUUCAGCCAAUCGAACUUCUCUUUUUUUAUAGUAAAGAAAAACUUUCAUCACACAAUCUUUUCUUUUUAGUACAGUGGUCAAGUUCUGUAAGAACUGUCACUACACUAAACACACUAUCCCAAUCCGUCCUCCGAAAAACUUUAAAUAUUCUUUCUAGACCAAGUGGUUAGUCUGAUUUUUUUCUUUUUAUUUAUUAUUACUUCGAGCUAGUGGUUUUCUUACUGACUGCCUAACAGCUGAUGGGACGGGACAUUUAUCACAUUCCGUCGUGAUUGUAAUAUAUAUAUAUAUAUAUAAUCCCUAUGUUGUUUAGUUAGCUUUUUCUUUUAUUAAUUUACAUUUGUGAACAGUAGAAAAGAAGGAUAAACUAAAGGAAAAGAAAAGGAAAGAAAAGAAAAAGAUAGAGAAAGAAAAAAUACCGGACAAGUGAAAAGGCUCGUAUGUUGUUUUUAUUUGGACUACCAAGCGAAAUAAGUGUUUAUUAAAAAGGAAAAGAAACGGAAGCACUUUUAUUAAGCAAAGUGUCCUGCUCCUCUUUAUUCACGUCACUUUUUAAAAUUUUCUGUUGUUAUUCAUGUGGUGGUUAAUUGGGUCAGAAUAGAAUUUCAGAGAAAUUUCACAGAUUCAAGAUUCACAACUAACCAACCAACCAACUCACAAAAUUAAUAAGUAAUAUACACUUCCCAGUGUAUAUAAAAGAACAAAGGAGGAAUUCUUUUUUCCUCUGUUGCUUUGACCCUCCUCAUUGAAUUAAAUUGGAUUGACUUCUUCAAUGUGCUCAUUACCUUCUAUCAACUAUAAUAUUCAGAACAGUGUUGAUCAUCAGUGCUGACUGGCACUAACAAUGCAAUUCUUAUUACUUCUAUUGGGUUGUUUUUUCCUUGCAAAAGGAUCAUUGUCUUCGCUCCUCUCCUUUAAGGCUGGAUAUGGAAAACUCUCCAAAAUUUCUAUAAAUUCCAGAACAAAUGAUGUGUAUGUUGGUGGUAUCAAUGGAAUUUAUCAUUUAGAUCAUGAGCUGAGAGUAAUGCAAUCUUUGAAUAUUAAAUCUAUGUCAAAUUCAGCUGUCAACAACACUGUAACUGUUUUAGCAAUUGAACCAAAUUUUGAAUAUCUUUUUGUUUGUGGAACAAUAAAAAAAGGAGCUUGCACAUUUCACAAUUUGGAUGAUAUCACUAAGAAAUCAGUCACCUCUGACACCAGAAAUGCAAGUCUUAUUGGAAACCAAAAAUCUGUUGUGGCAUUUUUUGAAAAAUCUCAGACAAGCGUUCCUUACAUGUAUGUAGCUAUGGCUUAUGAUGGCCGUGCAAUUUCCGAUUAUCCAUUUACAAUAUCCGAACGUAAAAUUCAAAGAAAUCUUCAAUAUCAUAAGAUUUCUUUCAGGAAUAACUUGAAAUAUGUUAUGGCUAACAGAAAUAUCUCAGUUGAGUUCAUCUAUGGGUUCAAAUAUAGCAAUUUUAUUUUCUAUGUUUCUGUAAGGAACAAUGAUUCAACGUACCUCCUGCGAGUUUGUGAAGAAGAUGAGAAUUAUUAUUACAUUGAAAUUAAACUUUACUGUUGGCUUAGUGACUACAAAAUUCAAUAUAGCACUGCUGCUCGCUUUACCUACCUUGAAGGGAAACCAGUGCUGUUGGUGGCCUACUGGAGUGAAGAACACAAGAGAUCAGCUGUUUGUGAACAUAGCAUGACUGAGGUGAAAUGGAAAAUUAUGCAAACAAUAUCAAGUUGUAGUAAAAACAGCCAUGAAUUUCCAAAGUACUCACCUUGGGUUAUUACUGAUGAAUACUGUUCAGAAGUGGCGCACGAUGGUAUCACAGAGGAAACAUGUGGUAUUGCUGACAACGUGUACAUUUCUAGAAAAAUGCCGAUGGCAGAGUCAGCUUCAUUCAAUCUAUCCACUUACAUAACUGCUAUACAACUCUAUACCGCGGAGCACCGCCCAGUUUAUCUUCUUGGAACAAAAGAUGGUCAUUUACUGAAAAUUAGAAAAACUACUCCAGAAAAUAUGUUUCACAUUGUAAUGGAUUAUGAUGUGAGUGAAGGAAGUGGUCAUCCAAUUGAAAGGGACCUCGAAUUAAUAGGGAACAAAACAGCUUAUGUGCUAAGUGGUUCUAAGGUGACUCGAUUUCCACUCGUCUCCUGUAGUGUUUAUUCAAGUUGUCGAACCUGUGUAACAGCAAACGAUGUUAUAAAAUGUGGCUGGUGUAAGAAUAAGUGCACAACACACUCUGCAUGCAAGGAAAUUGCAUGGUAUCCCGAUUUCUGUAAACCUGUUAUAACAUCUAUUUAUCCAAAAUCCGGUCCAUUUGAGGGCAAAACAGUCUUGACCAUCAAAGGUGAUUAUUUCACCAAUAAAAAUGAUGAAAAUGCUCACAUUCAGGUCCAUAUCAAAGACAAAGAAUGUACUGUACUACAAUAUAACGAGACAAUGAUUAAAUGCCUGACUCAGAAGCAGAAAGAUAAUGUAAGCAGUAUUCACGUAACAGCAAAAGCACUCAGUAAAGUGUCAAAUCAACCAAACAUCAAUGGACAAAAUAGCAGCGACGAAUUUUUCUAUUUCUAUAAGCCAGAAAUCUAUAAUUUUACUCCAAAAUUUGGACCUAAAUCUGGUGGCACAAAAUGUACUAUCACUGGAACCAAGCUAAAUAUUGGAUCUUCUGCAACUGUUAUGAUAGCGUCAAGAAAUUUCACAAUUGUAAAACGAACAGAUACUGAAAUCAUUGCCAAAACACCGUCAGUUGACUUUCUAGGUCAAGGCAGCCUAAGAGUCAUUAUUGAUGGCAGUAACAUGAAGCAACCUGAUGGAUUCACCUAUACAGAAGACCCAACAAUUUCUCAUGUUAACUCAACACACAGCAUCCAGAGUGGUGGCAUAAAUAUAGAAUUUUCUGGCACAAAUUUAAAUACUGUAAGAGAACCAAGGCUGAGUGGCAUUACUGUGGAAUCAAAGCAGCCGUUGUCUACAGAGCCAUGUCACUCAAACAAAGAAGGAACUUGGUUAUACUGCAAAAGUCCUAAGAUACCUGGUAUAAGUACAAAGCAAAUAAUACCUGUGGAUACUCAUUUACUCAUGGAUGGAGUUGUUGACCUCUACAACUUAUCAACAACAAAGCCAAUGAUAAGUCGAUUCCGUUACUAUCCUGAUCCUAUUAUCAAACGAUUCUCUGGAGAUAAUAAUGUCUUUGAAUAUUGUACAAGUGCAAAAGAAGUUGAAAUAAAGGGUACAAACAUAACUCUAGUUGCUAGAUCAAAUGACAUAAACAUAACAAUUGAUGGCAGAAUUCCUUGUAAAAUCACUAAGUUGGCACUAUCUUUCAUAAAAUGUGUCCCUCAAAACAUGCCUUCCAGAAAUGUCACCAAAAAAUUCAAAUUAGAUGUGAAGGUUUAUAUUGGCUACUUAAGUUAUGAAGUUGGCUGGUUGCUUUAUGUUGACACCAAAUCCAUCUUUACCAGUGCCACUGUCAUUGCAUUGAUUGUCGCCUUGUGUGUGAUUCUCAUCCUUAUUGCUGUCACCUGUUACUGUCUUUGGAAGAAAAAGGUAUUCUCUAAAAAACGCCAAAUCCCACAUACAGCUCGUUAUUUCAAUGGUGGUGAGGUGUCCCUUGAUGCAUUUGGUAGGUUGCUUCCAACAACAACAAAUGAGUAUACAGAGCGACAAGACUCACCUGGGGCCACAACCUAUGCCACAGGAGCUACAAGUGGAAUACCACUCAUUGAUGAGGAUACUUUUCUUCUCCUCAAAGACCAAAAACUUCUCAUACCAAAGGAAGCACUUUUGAUGAAAGAUAAAAUUGGUCAAGGACAUUUUGGUUGUGUUCACCGAGCGUUCCUCUUUAAACCUGGAGAAAAGGGAGAAAGCCUUGUUGCAGUAAAAACACUUCAUAAAGAUAACCCCCGAGAAAUUGAUGUGAAAGCAUUCUUAACAGAAGCCAUAAUUAUGAAAGACUUUGAUCAUGAAAACAUCUUAUCACUGAUUGGAAUCUGUCUUGGUAAAGACCAAAUGCCUCUUGUUGUGCUUCCAUACAUGUUACAUGGUGACCUACUAUCAUAUCUUCGAGAUGUUAACAACCAACCAACCAUUAAAGAUCUCAUUGUCUUUGGCAUCAGUAUUGCAUCGGGGAUGGACUAUUUAUCUGGUUUAAAGUUUGUCCAUAGAGAUCUCGCAGCACGGAAUUGUAUGCUUGAUGAAAAACUUGUGGUAAAAGUUGCAGAUUUUGGUCUUUCUCGAGAUAUUUAUGAACGAGACUACUAUAGCAGUGAUAAUAAGAAAUCAAAACUUCCCGUAAAAUGGAUGGCGCUAGAAAGUUUGGAAACAGGAAACUAUAACAUAAAAACAGAUGUUUGGUCGUAUGGUGUAGUUUUGUGGGAGUUGUUCACCCGAGGAGUAAACCCUUAUCCAACCGUUGAUAACUGGGACAUGCCCAAGUUCUUAAAAUCUGGCCGCAGAAUGGACAAACCAGACUAUUGUCCUAGUAAAACGUAUGAAAUCAUGUUACGGUGCUGGCAAGUAGACCAAAACUUAAGGCCUGAUUUUGCAACUAUCGUAGACGAACUCACCGAAUUAAGUCAAAUUGAAAAACAUGGAGACAUAGCCAUCAGUCAAAUAAUGUGCUAUGAGAAUGUAAAUUUUGCUUUGAAUAACAACAUCAAACCAACAGUUGUAUGAUUGGAACUAAGAUGAUCAAAAUAUAACUCUCAACCAGAAUGUGUGACCUUAUUUUUUCCCCCUCAAGGACAGUAAAAUGCCUUUUGAUAUUAUUUUAACCAAGCAAUAUUUUUUUUAACGAACAUAAAAAAUUUUGUGGUUUUAAUUAUUGAAUGGCUCUUAAAUAUACAUCCCUGAAUAGAGGUUCUAUGAAAUUUGUUCCCUUACAAAUAAUCAUCUAGGAUCCUUUUCAACAAUGUUUGUAUAUGAGAGAGAGAGAGAGAGAAAGAGAGAAUGUGUGUAUUAGUUAUGUCGACCACAUCUACUGAUCUUAUUUUCUUCCCACAAGAUCUGAAGUGCGUGUGUUUGUGUUUGUGUGUGUGUGUGUGUUGUAGGUACGUGCAUGAAUAUCUGUUUGUGUGUGAAUGUUCUUUUUUUUUAUUUAGACUGGGAAAAAAGAGGGUAUUUUAUGACCAUAGUUUUUGUAUAUCCACCCACCUAGACUAGAAAGGUAGACUUCUCUAGGUUGAUAUCUAUAGAGAGUUUCAGAGGGCUGCAGUUCUGGGAAGGUAAGUAAUAGGCAAAUUGUUUGUUACAUGAUCUAGAAAGUGAGAUACAGUAGAAGGUGAUACAAAGAGGAAAGACUGAUUCAUCAGGUGUUCUGUUUCUCAGUAGCUACUUUCUCAGUGGCAGGAUUAUAAAGAAAAAUUAGAAGAGAUUUAAAGCAUAGUCAAAUAACUCAUGGUGCCAAGUUCAAAUCUUGCUUGUGGCAAAAAUUGCCUUCUGUCAUUUUCUAAAAAAAACCAAUACAUUCAUGAUCUGAAUAGUUUAAGAUAACUGAGUCAUAAAUGGGACGGCUAUGAUAUGUAAUGUCUGUGUAUUUAAAAGAGGAUAUUAUUCCUUUGCACCCUUUUAUUUUUACUUUUUAAAUCAAAUCUGCUUUAUAAACAAAUUGGUUGCUUGUUCAACCACCAGGUCACAUGUCUGGAAUUCAAACCCACUGCAGUUAUUUUGUUUUAGAACUGAAAUAAUUUCUAAUUUUAUGCACUUGAAAUAUUGUCAAGAAUAAUUAGAUUCUUUUUGGAAUGUUAUCUAUGACAGCCUGGCAUUUUAUCUCGGAAAAAAUUUUAUUUCUCAACAGUUAAUGCAAUGAAACUGGACUUAAACAUUGUUCCUCGUGAAGGAUUUUGUUGACAAAGUAUUAUGAAGGAACGGUGUUUGUUAAACUGUGUUAGCAAAAAUUAUAACUGUCUUUAUUCAGUUAACUAUUUCCCUAUAUAACAUAAGUGCCUUUUUUUAUCUUAAUAUAAUAAGGAGAUGAAGAUGUUUUAGUUUCUACUCAUAACAUAAAUGUCUUCCUGCUUUAAUAUAGUAAGGUGAUAGAAACAGUCAAGAUAGCAGAAUGCCAGACUGGAUUUUUGACCAUAACUGUUGUUUGUUCAAAUCCUGACAAUCGCAUAUGCCUUUCAGUCUUUGGAUUCCUGUCUUUAGAUCCCUGGUAAUAAUCAGUUACAAUAAUGCAGUUUAGCCUCUAUGAGUAAAAGUAAAACUGCUUUUGGGGUUUUUUUUAAUACUUGAAAGUG
RNA transcript from Octopus sinensis (East Asian common octopus), 6309 nucleotides. It is a transcript of the gene named hepatocyte growth factor receptor, with no coding region annotated. The record is from RefSeq and is a predicted model, not a curated record. Lineage: Eukaryota; Metazoa; Mollusca; Cephalopoda; Octopoda; Octopodidae. The transcript has 22 exons.